GACAAAAAGAAAAACACAGACGGACUCAUUACAGUUACCCUAACUCCUUAGUGCAUAUCGAUAUAGAUAUCCUCUCUUGUGUUUAUUUAUUUAUUUAUGUAUGUAUGUAUGUAUGUAUGUAUUUUUUUUUUUUUUUAGAUUUUUCAAGUAUCUCUGUGUUUACCGCCCUGCCACUGUUCUUCCAUUCUGGUUCUGCAGCGCCCAAGAAACUGGUCCCAAACAUUGAGGCUUUUUUCCACGGUCUUACAGUUUGUUCAUUUUUUCGUGAUUAGCCCUUUUCCCACUUAAAGUUCAGCAGAAAAUGGCUUACACUGCUGCGGCCGACCAGAGUCCACUCUUCCAGAACCAGAACCCAUGCAGGUGGAUUCUACUGGUCUCUUACUGUCAGAGCGUCAUCGAAGACUUACUCUAGGAUUGUGUCUAUACUGUGGAGCAUCGGGGCAUACCAUCAUCUCAUGCCCCAUUCGCCCACCACGACACCUGUCUCGGCCCUCCUCCAUUCCGGAUUAAUUUAUUAAACGACAUAAGUCCGUCCCACACCACUGUAUUAUUAGAUAAAAUGCUGUGCUGUGAUCUUAUAUGAUAAAACAUUUAAUAAGGUGUUAAUAUGAUCAAUUCUGCUCAUAAAACAUUUCUCAGUAAUGAAUGAAAAGAAAAAAAGUUACCUUUUUUUUGUUUUUGUUUUUGCUUUUUUGUGUUUAAAAUGUUUACAAAAUUAUUCAUGCUGUACCUGUUCCAUCCUCCACAUUUUGCUCACCUAGUUUCUCUGGCACAUCCUUCUCUACCUUUUCACACAAAUGGACACUGAGCUGCUCACUAGGGAGGAAUCACGUAUGAAAGUUGCCACUUGCAAAUAACUGCUGCUGUAAGACCUGUCAUAAAAAAACAUAACGGCGACUUGGACAACUUAAACAGUUUUUGUCCUCUUUCAAAUCUACCGUUUCUUGCGAAAAUUCCAGAAUUUGUGGCUUUGCAGCUACAUAGUCAUCUCACAGUAAAUAAUCUUUUCGAACCCCUUCAGUCUGGAUUUAGAACAUCUCAUACUGUAGUACUGAGACAGCCUUGGUCAAGGUCAUCAUUGAUCUGUUAUUAGCCUCAGAUUCCACAAUCUGCGUAAUCUGGGAAUGGCUGUCUUUGGUGUUUCUGAGACUGUUUUAACUUUGUUUAGGUCAUUACCUAUCUGAUCGUUAAUAGUUUGUAUGUAUUGCCCCUUUUCCACCGAGGCAGUUUGAGUGCUGGUUUGGAGCCAGAGCCUAAUUUAGAACCAGUUAGAACCAGCACCGGCUCUGAACCAGGAAAAGUGGUUCUUAAGUAGCACCAAAACGUUGCUGGUCUAGACUUAAGAACCGCUUGCGUCAGUGGCUGUUGGCAGGGUAGCUGUUAGCACAUUUGGUAAUGUACCUAAAGUUUACUAGUAUUUAAUACACUUUUACUUUACCGCAAUAUAAUCACUUAUCAGCACACAUGAUAGUAGGUAGCUAAAGUACAUUCUAAGGCUAACUUUUUUCUGUGUUAAUGAUAAAAUAACGUUAUGUACUUUCUCGAUUACAACCUCCGUUUAUACAGAUUACAUGUAGCGGCAUGUACACGUUGGAUUAGCCGCGUUUGGAUGCCAAUGUAGGUUCACAAUUCCAUGAGCAUUAACAGUAACGCAACAUCCGCCAUUGUUGAUGUUGUGUUUGCCGCUGCUACGCUAAA
Tachysurus fulvidraco (yellow catfish) is the source of this 1698-nucleotide long non-coding RNA. RefSeq lists it as uncharacterized. The record is from RefSeq and is a predicted model, not a curated record. Lineage: Eukaryota; Metazoa; Chordata; Actinopteri; Siluriformes; Bagridae. The transcript has 4 exons.